RNAcentral lists this ribosomal RNA (254 nucleotides) under uncultured bacterium. Its description in RNAcentral is "partial 16S ribosomal RNA". It matches the Rfam family "Bacterial small subunit ribosomal RNA", at positions 524 to 776 of the family's 1533-position model. The record is from RNAcentral.
UACAGAGGGUGCAAGCGUUUAAUCGGAAUUACUGGGCGUAAAGCGUGCGUAGUCGGUUAUCUAAGUCGGGUGUGAAAUCCCCGGGCUCAACCUGGGAAUUGCAUUCGAUACUGGAUAGCUAGAGUUCGGCAGAGGGAAGCGGAAUUUCCGGUGUAGCGGUGAAAUGCGUAGAUAUCGGAAGGAACAUCAGUGGCGAAAGCGGCUUCCUGGACCAGAACUGACGAUCAGGCACGAAAGCGUGGGGAGCAAACAGG